GAUGAAGAACGCAGCGAAAUGCGAUAAGUAAUGUGAAUUGCAGAAUUCAGUGAAUCAUCGAAUCUUUGAACGCACCUUGCGCCCUUUGGCUAUUCCGAAGGGCAUGCCUGUUUGAGUAUCGUGAACACCUCAACUCUCAUGGUUUGCCAUGAUGAGCUUGGACUUUGGGGGUUUUGCUGGCCUUUGGUCGGCUCCUCUCAAACGGAUCAGCUUUCCAGUGUUUGGUGGCGUCACGGGUGUGAUAACUAUCUACGCCUGUGGUUUUCUGCCAGAUAACCUUCAGCGAUGGAGGUUCGCUGGGGCUCAUAAAUGUCUCUCCUCAGUGAGGACAGCCCUUUGAAUGUUUGAUCUCAAAUCAGGUAGGACUACCCGCUGAACUUAAGCAUAUCAAUAAGCGGAGGA
This 402-nucleotide unclassified non-coding RNA is filed under the name soil metagenome. RNAcentral describes it as "partial contains 5.8S ribosomal RNA, internal transcribed spacer 2, and large subunit ribosomal RNA". The stretch from base 1 to 121 matches the Rfam family "5.8S ribosomal RNA", at positions 35 to 154 of the family's 154-position model. The record is from RNAcentral.